AUUGAACGCUGGCGGCAUGCUUUACACAUGCAAGUCGAACGGUAACAGGGAGCUUGCUCCGCUGACGAGUGGCGAACGGGUGAGUAAUGCAUCGGAACGUGCCGUGUAAUGGGGGAUAACGUAGCGAAAGUUACGCUAAUACCGCAUACGCCCUGAGGGGGAAAGUGGGGGACCGCAAGGCCUCACGUUAUACGAGCGGCCGAUGUCGGAUUAGCUAGUUGGUGGGGUAAAGGCCUACCAAGGCGACGAUCCGUAGCGGGUCUGAGAGGAUGAUCCGCCACACUGGGACUGAGACGCGGCCCAGACUCCUACGGGAGGCAGCAGUGGGGAAUUUGGACAAUGGGGGCAACCCUGAUCCAGCCAUGCCGCGUGAGUGAAGAGGGGCCUUCGGGUUGUAAAGGCUCUUUCAGGUGGAAAGAAAUCGCAUCUUUUAAUACAAGGGUGUGGAUGACGGUACCAUCAGAAGAAGCACCGGCUAACUACGUGCCAGCAGCCGCGGUAAGCACG
Molecule: ribosomal RNA, 507 nt
Filed under: uncultured bacterium
Lineage: Bacteria
Description: bacterial SSU rRNA
Rfam family: Bacterial small subunit ribosomal RNA
Source: RNAcentral